UUUAAGUGCAGCCAUGGUUUUCCGCGCACAACUUUGAUCGUCCGUCUUAUUUAAAAAAAUUUAAAAUAUAAGUCACGAGUAAAAUAUUGUUCAUGUUUUAUCAUCUUAUAACAACAAAAAUACUAAUUAUAAAAAAAAUUCAAAUAAGACGGACGAUCAAAGUUAGGCACGGAAACUUAUAGUUGCACUUAAA
This 193-nucleotide microRNA precursor is filed under the name Oryza meridionalis. Its description in RNAcentral is "MIR812 microRNA precursor family". It matches the Rfam family "MIR812 microRNA precursor family". Lineage: Eukaryota; Viridiplantae; Streptophyta; Magnoliopsida; Poales; Poaceae. The record is from Rfam by way of RNAcentral.